UAUUCGGGGAAACAAACUUAGUCUAGAUGCAUUAUCUGGUCUUCCAAAAGUUCUAUCACAGCAAUGCGAUGGUCAAGUUCUGCUUGCAUUGUCCAGUUUUGACCACUUUAAUUCGGGAAAAGCCCUGUCCUAAUAUAACACAUAUCUAUUUUUAUAAGUCACGUGGUAUUUCGAAAACGAGGCAGUGAGAAAACGUCAACAGAAACACGUGAAUUUUUAGAGAUGUCCGAUUCAUCAAGCAGUCAAAGCAGUAACACGAUAGAUUAUGAAUAUGCACAAGUCCAUACAUCCCCAAGGAGGGGGAGGGGAUUAAGGAGGAGGGGAGGAACCUGUGGACGGCUAAGGGGUCGAGGAAGGGGUCUCGGGGCAGACAGCAGUCCAAGGAUGGAGAGGGCGAGGUAGAGGAAGGGGGCCAAGGGGUGCACGUGGUACAGUUGCUGUGCUGCAGCAGGAGGAUCGGGCCAGGGUACUGACAUUGCAACAGCAAAGGAGAAGGGAUCUACAUGAACCUUGCGCUCCUAUCAUACAAAGCUAAUAAUCAUAUUUUUGUAAUAUUAGUAGUGUGACUUUCUGUAUGCUACUGUUUUAUGAAUGUUAUCCACAAUUUACUUCAUCAUUCAAAUUAUUUUGACUUGUUGAUAAUCAAUUACAAAGUACUGUAUUAUUUCUUUUCAUAUCUUUUUUAUUUUGAUAUUUCUUUGGCAUGUACACAGACAAAAAGAACAGUAGACAUUUUACCAAAGCAUUCAGGAGACAAUUUAUACUAUUACUCACUGAAAGUGUUAAAUUUUACCAAAAAUGCACAGACCCUCUCACACAUCAAACAUACAUCCCAUAUGUGUAUGAACACCUAAUUUUUAACCAACCAAGUGAAUGGUAUGGUUAUAAGACCUGUUUCUCUAGGUAGGUAUUUACAUUACACAUGGGGGUAUUUCAUUUUAGUUCACAGAAUAUUGAAAAAAUAUGCAACUAGACACUUGAUUAACACAUUUAUCAGAAUGAACCAUCUAUGAACACAAUGUUAUAAGUUAAUAACAACUACACACAAUGUUAGUACACACGUGCACCUCAAACACAUUCUCACAAGUGAACACUUCGUAUACACACUGAUAAUUGAACACUUCCUACAAACUGAUAGUGAACACUUCCUACACACACUGAUAAUUGAACACUUCCUACAAACUGAUAGUGAAUAAUUCCUACACACACUGAUAAUUGAACACUUCCUACACACACUGAUAAGUGAACACUUCCUACACACACUGAUAGUGAACACUUCCUAUACACACUGCUAGUGAACACUUCCUACACAAACUGAUAAGUGAACACUUCCUGCAAACUGAUAAUUGAACACUUCCUACACACAAUGUUGAAAGAACACCUGCAUUUACUGUCAAGUGAACACUCUCAAACACACACUAGUACUGAAAUGUAAACACCUGCAAUACACCAUUAAGUGAACACCUACCUCCUACAUGUUCUGAAAUUGAACACCACAUUUACACAAUACUUACUUCCACAAACAAUUAUCAAAAAACGCAUACAUACCUUAAAUAAAACCUUAGUAGAAAAAUUUGGGAUGAAAUUUGAGGGAAAAUAGAUAAGUUAAAUAUAAGUGCAUUAAAAUUUAUCAACUCAAAAACCAAAAAUAAGGAAAAACAGUUAUUUUUAUACAUUAGAAUGCUACAGUACUCCCACCCACAUGGAUUUGUUCUAUAAUAAUUGUUUUAUGUAUUAGGAUAUAAUCAGAAGGAUGGACCCAAAGCCACUGAUAAAUUUAGUUCUUCAGCUAGUGUAUCGUCAGCCAGGCCUAGUUUUUGACCUUUGC
This is a long non-coding RNA of Pecten maximus, 1828 nucleotides long. RefSeq lists it as uncharacterized. NCBI's taxonomy places the organism in Eukaryota, Metazoa, Mollusca, Bivalvia, Pectinida, Pectinidae. The transcript has 2 exons. The record is from RefSeq and is a predicted model, not a curated record.